GUGCUCAUUUUGCAGCACAUAUACUAAAAUUGUAACAAUAGAGAUUAGCAUGGUCCCUGCACAAGGAUGACAUGCAAACUGGGGAAGCGUUCCACUUUAAA
RNAcentral lists this small nuclear RNA (101 nucleotides) under Moschus moschiferus (Siberian musk deer). The record is from RNAcentral. Lineage: Eukaryota; Metazoa; Chordata; Mammalia; Artiodactyla; Moschidae.